RNAcentral lists this ribosomal RNA (443 nucleotides) under uncultured bacterium. Its description in RNAcentral is "partial 16S ribosomal RNA". It matches the Rfam family "Bacterial small subunit ribosomal RNA", at positions 338 to 795 of the family's 1533-position model. The record is from RNAcentral.
CCUACGGGAGGCAGCAGUGAGGGAUAUUGGUCAAUGGGGGGAACGCUGAUCCAGCGACGCCGCGUGAGUGAAGAUGUAUUUCGGUAUGUAAAGCUCUUUCAUCAGGGAAGAAAGAAAUGACGGUACCUGACCAAGAAGCCCCGGCUCACUACGUGCCAGCAGCCGCGGAAGUACGUAGGGGGCAGGCGUUAUCCGGAAUUACGGGGUGUAAAGGGAGCGUAGACGGUUAAGUAAGUCUGGAGUGAAAGGCCUGGGCCCAACCCCGGGACUGCUAUGGAAACUAUUGAACUUGAGUGCAGGAGAGGUAAGCGGAAUGCGUAGUGUAGCGGUGAAAUGCGUAGAUAUGAGGAGGAACACCAGUGGCGAAGGCGGCUUACUGGACUGUAACUGACGUGGAGGCUCGAAAGCGUGGGGAGCAAACAGGAUUAGAUACCCGAGUAGUC